GCCUUCAUGUUGUAGUGGUCAGCACCCUCGACUUGAAACCGAGAGGUCCGGGGUUCGAUUCCCGUCGAAGGCA
RNAcentral lists this transfer RNA (73 nucleotides) under Stegodyphus mimosarum. It matches the Rfam family "tRNA". Rfam says of the family: Transfer RNA (tRNA) molecules are approximately 80 nucleotides in length. Their secondary structure includes four short double-helical elements and three loops (D, anti-codon, and T loops). The record is from Rfam by way of RNAcentral. Lineage: Eukaryota; Metazoa; Arthropoda; Arachnida; Araneae; Eresidae.